Molecule: unclassified non-coding RNA, 299 nt
Filed under: plant metagenome
Description: partial contains 5.8S ribosomal RNA, internal transcribed spacer 2, and large subunit ribosomal RNA
Rfam family: 5.8S ribosomal RNA (bases 1-105)
Source: RNAcentral
GAAAUGUGAUAAGUAAUGUGAAUUGCAGAAUUCAGUGAAUCAUCGAAUCUUUGAACGCACAUUGCGCUCGCCAGUAUUCUGGCGAGCAUGCCUGUUCGAGCGUCAUUUCAACCAUCAAGCUCUGCUUGCGUUGGGGAUCCGCGGCUGCCCGCGGUCCCUCAAAAACAGUGGCGGGCUCGCUAGUCACACCGAGCGUAGUAACUCUACAUCGCUAUGGUCGUGCGGCGGGUUCUUGCCGUAAAACCCCCAAUUUCUAAGGUUGACCUCGGAUCAGGUAGGAAUACCCGCUGAACUUAAGC